GAUGAAGCACGUAGCGAAAUGCGAUAAGUAAUGUGAAUUGCAGAAUUCAGUGAAUCAUCGAAUCUUUGAACGCACAUUGCGCCCGCCAGUAUUCUGGCGGGCAUGCCUGUUCGAGCGUCAUUUCAACCAUCAAGCCCCAGGCUUGUGUUGGGGACCUGCGGCUGCCGCAGGCCCUGAAAACCAGUGGCGGGCUCGCUGUCACACCGGGCGUAGUAGAUUUUAUCUCGCUCAGGGCGUGCUGCGGGUUCCGGCCGUUAAAAAGCCUUUUUUACCCAAGGUUGACCUCGGAUCAGGUAGGAAGACCCGCUGAACUUAAGCAUAUCAAUAAGCGGAGGA
RNAcentral lists this unclassified non-coding RNA (336 nucleotides) under soil metagenome. RNAcentral describes it as "partial contains 5.8S ribosomal RNA, internal transcribed spacer 2, and large subunit ribosomal RNA". The stretch from base 1 to 120 matches the Rfam family "5.8S ribosomal RNA", at positions 35 to 154 of the family's 154-position model. The record is from RNAcentral.